Mizuhopecten yessoensis (Yesso scallop) is the source of this 180-nucleotide long non-coding RNA. RefSeq lists it as uncharacterized. The transcript has 3 exons. The record is from RefSeq and is a predicted model, not a curated record. Lineage: Eukaryota; Metazoa; Mollusca; Bivalvia; Pectinida; Pectinidae.
GUGAGAGCAAGGAGUACGAGAAUGGGGUAGAGGAGGACGGUGACUUCGGGACAGACCACCUAAUUUGUGGAUCAGAUGGACUUCAGACAAUGUCAAGGUACGUACGAGCUUGGAGGACCGAACACUGCCAUCCAAGCCUUCGCUGACUUGAGGUAGAAAUACAAAGGGUUCAUUCUGAAG